UUGAAUAGCGAGCCGAAUUUCUAAAGGAAAACGGGGGAACCAUGAGUUUAGGGGUGAAUUCAGCGGAUACAAUCCGCUGAUAGGGUGCCUGUACAUCCGAAUCCGACAGCUAACCUCGUAGGCUUGAAUUACAGGAACC
RNAcentral lists this small RNA (139 nucleotides) under Paenibacillus naphthalenovorans. RNAcentral's name for it is "c-di-AMP sequence". It matches the Rfam family "c-di-AMP riboswitch aptamer (ydaO/yuaA leader)". From Rfam's summary of the family: This family represents a conserved RNA structure found upstream of the ydaO and yuaA genes in Bacillus subtilis and related genes in other bacteria. The ydaO/yuaA element is thought to act as a genetic "off" switch for the ydaO and yuaA genes in its native state. The record is from Rfam by way of RNAcentral. Lineage: Bacteria; Bacillati; Bacillota; Bacilli; Caryophanales; Paenibacillaceae.